AACGCUGACAGAAUGCUUAACACAUGCAAGUUAAUGAUAAUAAUUUAUUAUUGUCAUAGCGGACGGGUGAAAAACGUGUAAAGAACUUACCCUAUAGACUGGGAUAACAGAGAGAAAUUUCUGAUAAUACUAGAUAAUGUUAACAAGAAGCAUUUUUUGUUAAUUAAAGGAUUUAUUGCUAUAGGAGAGCUUUGCAUCCUAUUAGCUAGUUGGUAAGGUAAAGGCUUACCAAGGCGAUGAUAGGUAGCCGGCCUGAGAGGGUGGACGGCCACAAGGGGACUGAGAUACGGCCCUUACUCCUACGGGAGGCAGCAGUGGGGAAUAUUGGACAAUGGAGGAAACUCUGAUCCAGCAAUUCUGUGUGUGUGAAGAAGGUCUUAGGAUUGUAAAGCACUUUUAGUUGGGAAGAAGAAGAUGACGGUACCAACAGAAGAAGCGACGGCUAAAUACGUGCCAGCAGCCGCGGUAAUACGUAUGUCGCAAGCGUUAUCCGGAAUUAUUGGGCUUAAAGGGCAUCUAGGCGGCUUAUCAAGUUGAAGGUGAAAUAUUUAAGCUCAACUUAAAAAUUGCCUACAAAACUGAUUAGCUAGAGUACUGGAGAUGUGGGUGGAACUACACGAGUAGUGGUGAAAUACGUAGAUAUGUGUAGGAAUGCCGAUGAUGAAGAUAACUCACAAGACAGAAACUGACGCUGAAGUGCGAAAGCUAGGGGAGCAAACAGGAUUAGAUACCCUGGUAGUCCUAGCUGUAAACGAUGAUCACUGGGUGUAGGGUAGAAGAUAUUCUGUGCCGAAGCAAAAGCGAUAAGUGAUCCGCCUGGGGAGUACGUUCGCAAGAAUGAAACUCAAAGGAAUUGACGGGGGCCCGCACAAGUGGUGGAGCAUGUGGUUUAAUUCGACGCAACGCGAGGAACCUUACCAGAUUUUGACAUCCUCGGAAUUAUAUAAAGAUAUAUAAGUGCCUACGGGAACCGAGAGACAGGUGGUGCAUGGCUGUCGACAGCUCGUGUUGUGAGAUGUUGGGUUAAGUCCCGCAACGAGCGAAACCCCUAUUAUUAGUUGCCAUCAUUAAGUUGGGGACUCUAAUAAAACUGCCUUUUACAAGAAGGAGGAAGGUGGGGAUGACGUCAAGUCAUCAUGCCCCUUAUGAUCUGGGCUACACACGUGCUACAAUGGGUAGUACAAAGAGAGAAUGUCUAGUAAUAGAUGUUAAAACAAGAAAGCUAUUCAUAGUUCGGAUUGAAGUCUGCAACUCGACUUCAUGAAGUUGGAAUCACUAGUAAUCGCAAAUCAGCAAUGUUGCGGUGAAUACGUUCUCGGGCCUUGUACACACCGCCCGUCACACCACGAGAGUUGUUUGCACCUGAAAUUACUGGCCUAACUAGAAAUAGAGGGAGGU
RNAcentral lists this ribosomal RNA (1398 nucleotides) under uncultured bacterium. RNAcentral's name for it is "16S ribosomal RNA". It matches the Rfam family "Bacterial small subunit ribosomal RNA". The record is from RNAcentral.